AUGUGUGUGAGCUCACGAUGAUGACACAAAAGAAAGAAGGCAUCUCUCACUGUUGCAUAAAAGAAAUCCAACAAUGACCAUUUCAAUCACCUUUCUGUUGUUCUAAAUGCUAUUUUAAUGGAGGUCGAAUGUUCACAAAUUUAUGGGGAAUAAUGAAUAAAAGAUUAAGGAAUAGUUGUAAUGGGAAGCAUAUUUACAACGAUCUGUAGAGACACAAACUGAAAAUAACUCAAUUAUGGUUUUGCUUAACCUAUUAGAUAGUGUUAUAAAUAAUAAGCUGUACAUUUGGAGCCAGCUUCUUGGUGAUGACUUGUUUGGCUUGAUUUCUCACUUAGGUCAAGUGCUGUGCUGUACUGAUUGAUAGAUUGUCUCCAGCAGGAAGUUUGACAAUGGACAACCUAGAAGCAGAUGUGCCUGAUAAAUGUAAAUGGUAGCUUCUUUGUGGCCCUUCCACCAGAAGUGAAGAAGCCUGGUGCAGAGCUUCUACUUGACCUAUGAUAGAUAUGCUGCUGGAGAAGAAAUCAACCUCCUGUGCUCCUGAGUAUAUGACUACUUGUACUUGCUAGCACUGAGGCAAGUACAAACUCUAGGCAUCAGGCUUUUGGUCUCACUCUUAGCGAAUUUGAACACUGGCUUUUUUGUUGGGCUUCCAUUCUUCUCUCAGUGCAAGAAUACCAACGUUUAUGACCCAGGAAGCACCAACUUGUACUUCACAGAGCUAAGAAACAGCAUUUCGCCAUGUCACGCAGGCUGGUCUUCAACUCCUGGACUCAAGCUAUCCACGGGCCUCGGCCUCCCAAAGUGCUAGAAUUACAGGCAUGAGCCACUGUGUCCGGCUUGGAGUUUUUAGUCUCAUCAAACCAACUCACCCAAAUGUCCCUUGGUGACAAAAAGUUUUCUGAACAAUUAAGUAAUCUUUGUUUCUCAAGCCUGACAAAAUAAAAAGUUUUCUGUCUCUCUCUUUCUCUUUUGC
This is a long non-coding RNA of Pan troglodytes (chimpanzee), 973 nucleotides long. RefSeq lists it as uncharacterized. NCBI's taxonomy places the organism in Eukaryota, Metazoa, Chordata, Mammalia, Primates, Hominidae. The record is from RefSeq and is a predicted model, not a curated record. The transcript is spliced from 4 exons.